CUCUUAUCCAGAGAGGCGGAGGGAACUGGCCCUGCGAAGCCUCGGCAACCGUGUACAGACAGGUGCUAAUUCCAGCAAAGCAAUACGCUUUGGCAGAUAAGAG
Molecule: non-coding RNA, 103 nt
Filed under: Tumebacillus sp.
Lineage: Bacteria; Bacillati; Bacillota; Bacilli; Caryophanales; Alicyclobacillaceae
Description: SAM-I sequence
Rfam family: SAM riboswitch aptamer (S box leader)
About the family: The SAM riboswitch is found upstream of a number of genes which code for proteins involved in methionine or cysteine biosynthesis in Gram-positive bacteria.
Source: RNAcentral